AGCGAACGCUGGCGGCAGGCCUAACACAUGCAAGUCGAACGCCCCUUCGGGUGAGUGGCGGUCGGGUGAGUAACGGGUGGGAAUGUUCCUUUUGGUACGGAACACCUGAGGGACACUUCAGCUCAUACCGUAUGUGCCCUACGGGGGAAACAUUUAUCGCCAUUGAAGCAGCCCGCGUUGGAUUUGGUGGUUGGUGGGUUAAGGGCCCAUCAUGCCGACGAUCCAUAGCUGGUCUGAGAGGAUGACCAGCCACACUGGGACUAGGACACGGCCGAGAAUCCUACGGAAGGCAGCAGUGGGUAAUCCUGCGAAAUGGGGGAAAGCCUGACGCAGCCAGGGCGGGUGAAUGAUGAAGGUCGGAGAAUAGUAAAAUUCUUUAACCGGGGAAGAUAAUGACGGUACCCGGAGAAGAAGCCCCGGCUAACUUCGUG
Molecule: ribosomal RNA, 431 nt
Filed under: uncultured bacterium
Lineage: Bacteria
Description: partial 16S ribosomal RNA
Rfam family: Bacterial small subunit ribosomal RNA
Source: RNAcentral